AUACUUAACUAGCAGGGGAUAUGCCAUGAUCAUGGAGGCAGUUUUCCCUGGGUGAGGCUGAUCCAUUGCACUCUGGAUGUGCUGACCCCUGUGAUUUCUCCAAAUGUGAGAAAAUUGACUGCAUAAUUUGCAGCAGUGGGGGACUGCAUUUGUUCUCUCCCCUG
Molecule: small nuclear RNA, 164 nt
Filed under: Dasypus novemcinctus (nine-banded armadillo)
Lineage: Eukaryota; Metazoa; Chordata; Mammalia; Cingulata; Dasypodidae
Description: U1 spliceosomal RNA (ENSDNOG00000040999.1)
Rfam family: U1 spliceosomal RNA
About the family: U1 is a small nuclear RNA (snRNA) component of the spliceosome (involved in pre-mRNA splicing).
Source: RNAcentral